RNAcentral lists this ribosomal RNA (167 nucleotides) under uncultured Actinomycetes bacterium. Its description in RNAcentral is "uncultured actinobacterium partial 16S ribosomal RNA". Lineage: Bacteria; Bacillati; Actinomycetota; Actinomycetes. The record is from RNAcentral.
UCCGCCUUCAUGGAGUCGGGUUGCAGACUCCAAUCCGAACUGAGACCGGUUUUAAGGGAUCCGCUCCCCCUCACCAGGUCGCAUCCCGUUGUACCGGCCAUUGUAGCAUGCGUGAAGCCCUGGACGUAAGGGGCAUGAUGAUCUGACGUCAUCCCCACCUUCCUCCG